Molecule: ribosomal RNA, 490 nt
Filed under: uncultured bacterium
Lineage: Bacteria
Description: partial 16S ribosomal RNA
Rfam family: Bacterial small subunit ribosomal RNA
Source: RNAcentral
GAUUGAACGCUGGCGGCAGGCCUAACCCAUGCAAGUCGAACGGUAACAGGAAGCAGCUUGCUGCUUCGCUGACGAGUGGCGGACGGGUGAGUAAUGUCUGGGAAGCUGCCUGAUGGAGGGGGAUAACUACUGGAAACGGUAGCUAAUACCGCAUAAUGUCGCAAGACCAAAGAGGGGGACCUUCGGGCCUCUUGCCAUCGGAUGUGCCCAGAUGGGAUUAGCUUGUUGUGGGGUAACGGCUCACCAAGGCGACGAUCCCUAGCUGGUCUGAGAGGAUGACCAGCCACACUGGAACUGAGACACGGUCCAGACUCCUACGGGAGGCAGCAGUGGGGAAUAUUGCACAAUGGGCGCAAGCCUGAUGCAGCCAUGCCGCGUGUAUGAAGAAGGCCUUCGGGUUGUAAAGUACUUUCAGCGGGGAGGAAGGGAGUAAAGUUAAUACCUUUGCUCAUUGACGUUACCCGCAGAAGAAGCACCGGCUAACUCCGUG